This 230-nucleotide ribosomal RNA is filed under the name uncultured bacterium. RNAcentral's name for it is "partial 16S ribosomal RNA". It matches the Rfam family "Bacterial small subunit ribosomal RNA", at positions 15 to 229 of the family's 1533-position model. The record is from RNAcentral.
GAUCAUGGCUCAGGAUGAACGCUGGCGGCGUGCCUAACACAGGCAAGUCGAACGAAGCACCUUACCUGAUUCUUCGGAUGAAGGUCUGGUGACUGAGUGGCGGACGGGUGAGUAACGCGUGGGUAACCUGCCCUGUACAGGGGGAUAACAGUUGGAAACGGCUGCUAAUACCGCAUAAGCGCACGAGAGGACAUCCUCUUGUGUGAAAAACUCCGGUGGUACAGGAUGGG